CCUACGGGUGGCAGCAGUGAGGAAUAUUGGUCAAUGGACGAAACUCUGAACCAGCCAAGUAGCGUGAAGGAUGACUGCCCUAUGGGUUGUAAACUUCUUUUAUAUGGGAAUAAACUGUUCCACGUGUGGGUUUUUGUAUGUACCAUAUGAAUAAGGAUCGGCUAAAUCCGUGCCAGCAGCCGCGGUAAUACGGAGGAUCCGGGCGUUAUCCGGAUUUAUUGGGUUUAAAGGGAGCGUAGGUGGAUUGUUAAGUCAGUUGUGAAAGUUUGCGGCUCAACCGUAAAAUUGCAGUUGAAACUGGCAGGCUUGAGUACAGUAGAGGUGGGCGGAAUUCGUGGUGUAGCGGUGAAAUGCUUAGAUAUCACGAAGAACUCCGAUUGCGAAGGCAGUUCACUGUACUGUAACUGACACUGAGGCUCGAAAGUGCGGGUAUCAAACAGGAUUAGAUACCCGUGUAGUC
This 460-nucleotide ribosomal RNA is filed under the name uncultured bacterium. Its description in RNAcentral is "partial 16S ribosomal RNA". It matches the Rfam family "Bacterial small subunit ribosomal RNA", at positions 338 to 795 of the family's 1533-position model. The record is from RNAcentral.